Felis catus (domestic cat) is the source of this 85-nucleotide transfer RNA. It matches the Rfam family "tRNA". Rfam says of the family: Transfer RNA (tRNA) molecules are approximately 80 nucleotides in length. Their secondary structure includes four short double-helical elements and three loops (D, anti-codon, and T loops). Lineage: Eukaryota; Metazoa; Chordata; Mammalia; Carnivora; Felidae. The record is from Rfam.
GCCUGGGUGGCUCAGUCGGUUAAGCGUCUGACUUCGGCUCAGGUCAUGAUCUCGGGGUCCGUGAGUUCGAGCCCCACGUCGGGCU